CCUACGGGAGGCUGCAGUAGGGAAUUUUCCGCAAUGGGCGAAAGCCUGACGGAGCAACGCCGCGUGAGGGAAGAAGGUCUUCGGAUCGUAAACCUUUGUCAUCGAGGACGAUAAUGACGGUACUCGAGGAGGAAGCCCCGGCUAACUACGUGCCAGCAGCCGCGGUAACACGUAGGGGGCGAGCGUUGUCCGGAAUUACUGGGCGUAAAGGGCGCGUAGGCGGCCUAAUAAGUCAGAUGUGAAACCCCCGGGCUUAACCCUGGGCUUGCAUUUGAAACUGUUGGGCUUGAGGACAGGAGAGGAAAGCGGAAUUCCCAGUGUAGCGGUGAAAUGCGUAGAUAUUGGGAGGAACACCAGUGGCGAAGGCGGCUUUCUGGACUGUAACUGACGCUGAGGCGCGAAAGCCAGGGUAGCGAACGGGCUUAGAUACCCCUGUAGUC
Molecule: ribosomal RNA, 440 nt
Filed under: uncultured Bacillota bacterium
Lineage: Bacteria; Bacillati; Bacillota
Description: bacterial SSU rRNA
Rfam family: Bacterial small subunit ribosomal RNA
Source: RNAcentral